This 1217-nucleotide long non-coding RNA is filed under the name Mus spicilegus (steppe mouse). RNAcentral's name for it is "lncRNA (ENSMSIG00000032107.1)". Lineage: Eukaryota; Metazoa; Chordata; Mammalia; Rodentia; Muridae. The record is from RNAcentral.
AAACAAACUGUGCUUUCUCAUACAAGCUCCAAAUCAAAAGGCUGUGUGCCUUGACUUACAAUCAAAGAUUCUCACCAUGGCAAUUCUAUAAAGCACGUUUAGUGCUAAGUAGAAAGUCCCGUGUAUUAUUAAUGAUAGUUAGUAGAAUGAACAUCUGCAGAUGAUGAAAUGAGCAUAUGAUCAAAUAAAGGGGUGAAGAGAAUGAAGUCAGGUUUCUCUGAAGCUGAGUAAAAAGAAUGGAACCAAGGCUUUUUAUAUAUGGUGUCAUGUGAUGCUGAUGUCGCUAUUUCUGUGAUCACUUUGUGUAUUCGUAGGCAGCUUGCUCAGGGCAACCCAGUGUCUUAAGGAAGGCUAGCACCAUGGUCUUCACUUUACAAAAUGAAAGGGAAGUGCAAAGAGGUAAAGAAAGUUUUAAACUAAUGAACUGUUAUUUUGCAGUUUUUGUGUUUCAUCCUACAUAUCGUAUGAGCACCUCUGGGUUAGGCCCUAGAAGGUCAAAGGAAGGAUCUGGUGUGGAAAGGACUGAACAGCCUACUAAAGGGGUCCAGAAACCUGAGCUAGCUGAAGAGCAGAAGCUGAACCAAGGGAACACACAGGCAGCUGAGUUACUAAGCCAAGAUUCCCAGCACUUAGAACAACACUCUCCAGAAUGUUCUCAGAUCUUCAGUGCUGACCCAGUUUCUGUUGCUGGAACUUUCCGUGGCAGAAAUCAGUACACAAGACUUAAAAGCUUGACCUCACCACCAAGAAGAAAGACAUCAAAGAAUUAAGCCAGGAGUCAAUUCACUGCAAUGGCAAGGAGUACUUUAAAGCAGAAACCCAGCUUGAAGGGAGACCAUGUCCUUAGAAGGUAUCUGAAGACUUCUUUGUACUGAGCAUGAGCAGAGGUCCACUUCUGGUCAACACUUUGAGUCCACUUCUCAUGGGGUUUCACUGGCUCAUUUGAGUGGAAGCCUGCAAGCCAAACUUUACAGUAGCAACAGUGUAAUUACAUGAUUCUGGACUUGGGGGUGGGGGGGGGUGCCCAAUGUGCCUACCAAUACUCAUACAUCAAAUCUUUGCUCAUGCCUUUCAACUCUCUUUGUGUUAUAAAUGAUUUUUAUGACACAUCUAGUGGGGUUCCUGUUUGAAUAUGAAAUGUCUCCUACAGACUUAUGCUCUAAAACUUAUGGCGGUUGGUCUGGUACUGCUAUGUAUUCAAAUGCUUACUACUGGUC